CUUUAACAUAUUCAUUCUUAAAUGAAUAAGUACCAGGCCUUCAAGUACUUUCCAUGUCCUCAAUCCAAACAUUUUAAGUACCCACCAUGUCCCUACUACUACAUACUAAUGAAAAGAAAAACCUACCACACAUAAGAGAUAGUAAUCUCAUCUAUACAGAGGUUCCUGUACUGAUAAUAAGCGCAGGAAACCAUUAGAAUGGUUUGGAAAUUACGAUUUCCUACUAAUAAAAAAAUUUAAAUGCUGGAAUAGGUAAGAAAACUCAAACACAGUGUUUGAAGUUGGGAUAAAGACAGGCUCACUACCUUAACUUUUUCAGUCUAUUUCACGAAGCUGUACAAUCUAUGAAGGUAUCAUCAAAAUCCAUCUCAUCAUCGUCUCCCCUGGUAAAUUGAAAUUAAAAGACACAAAUUUUAACAUUGUAAUGCAAUAGCUUUAGAAAUACAAAUAGAAAAAAUACAUUUACUGAAUGAACAACUGAAAUUCUACUAUACAAAAAAACCUUGUACAAUAACCUUUAUUAAGCAAAUCAAAAAUGAGUAUCAGUGGCUACUGAAUUUAUUUUUUAUCAAGCCAUUACUUAUUUUGGGAUACAGAUUAUCUGAGCAAAAUGCACGAUGCAAGAGGGUUAGUUAAUGCAAAACUAAAUACAGUGGUACCUCGACAUAUGAAAGGCUCAACUUACGAAAAACUUGAGAUAUAAAAGCAAAUACACUCAACUUACGAAAAAACCGAGAUAUGAGAGCAAAUACGAAGAUUUUUUUUGGCUCUACAUACGAAAAUAGUUAAGAGUUAUGAAAGGUUGUUGCUGUAUAGUCCCGAGAUUUGCCUGGACCACCGAGAGCAAUUUUAAAACUCGCGCGCCGCCAACUGAGUAAACUCGCCACCAUCCUCCCGCUCUCCCAUUGGUUCCUGAUGCUAGUCACCGCCGUAAGAUCCUGCUCUCCUAUUGGUCAGCAUCUACCCCAUGUGCUCUAUGUAUUCUAUUGGUAAAAGGAUGCUGUAAAUUGAAAAACUUAUUCAUGCAAUACAUUUAAUAAAAAAAAACAUUAGGUAAAGAUAGAAUAAAGAAUGGAAAUGAAUGGUUAUUAUACUGUUUGGUAGUUUCAGUAGUUGAAGAGAGAUAAUGAAAAUUUGAUUACUGUACGUACUAUGUGCUAGGUGAAAGUGGUUGCUUGGCGAUCGUUCGGUACUCGUAAGUGCUGAAUGUAAACAGAAGGUUGGAGCUUUUUUUUUUUUAUUAUUAUUUAUUAUAGUUAAUGGUUACUUAAUAAUUAUUUGAAAUGAGUACAUGCAAUACAUUUAAUAAAAAAAAUUGUUAGAUAUCAUAAUAUAUAAAAUAAAUCAGACUGCUAUCAUUAAAGCCAAUAAAUACGUACUUUCUAGAAUUCUUCUUCUGUUUUAAUAUUACGUAUAUGUUUCAUUAUAGCUGUCAGUAACUAGGUAUCUCCAUUAGGUAAAGAUAGAAUAAAGAAUAGAAAUGAAUGGUUAUUAUACUGUUUGGUGGUUUCAUUAGUUGAAGAGAGAUAUUAAUGACAAUUUAUGGCUUACUGUGUGCUAGGAAAAGUAGUUGCUUGGCAAUCAUUCGGUACUCGUAAGUGCUGAAUGUAAACAAAAGGUUGGAAGUUUUUUUUUUUUUUUUUUUUGUAUUAUAGUUAAUGAUUAAUUAAUAAUUAUUUGAAAUGAGUACAUACUGAUUAUUUAUAAAUUUCAUUGGCAUAUUCUAAGCUUUUAGCUUCUGGUUUAAAUGUCAAAAUCAUAGACAAGGCUACAGUAGCAACUGCUAACAUAGGCUAGGCUUAU
This is a long non-coding RNA of Macrobrachium nipponense, 1803 nucleotides long. RefSeq lists it as uncharacterized. The transcript has 4 exons. NCBI's taxonomy places the organism in Eukaryota, Metazoa, Arthropoda, Malacostraca, Decapoda, Palaemonidae. The record is from RefSeq and is a predicted model, not a curated record.